RNAcentral lists this transfer RNA (74 nucleotides) under Stegodyphus mimosarum. It matches the Rfam family "tRNA". From Rfam's summary of the family: Transfer RNA (tRNA) molecules are approximately 80 nucleotides in length. Lineage: Eukaryota; Metazoa; Arthropoda; Arachnida; Araneae; Eresidae. The record is from Rfam by way of RNAcentral.
GUCUUCGUGGUGUAGAGGUCAGCACGCUCGACGCGUAACUGAGAGGUCCGUGGUUCGAUUCCGUGGCGAAGGCG